Molecule: long non-coding RNA, 250 nt
Organism: Pseudomyrmex gracilis
Lineage: Eukaryota; Metazoa; Arthropoda; Insecta; Hymenoptera; Formicidae
Exons: 3
Source: RefSeq, a predicted model, not a curated record
GCUCCCGCCGUGUCUUUAUGCGUGUGCGUGUGCCGAAUGUGAACAGGCUUGUAAUCAUGCACGAUCGAGCAAUUCGGAUGACCUUCGUUGAGCAAGUGACAAACCAGCUGGAUUGCUACCUCAAGACGUUCGUUGGCUAUUACGAGAGAAAUGACCAGUCAUUGAAACCAGACAAGGGUGAAGGUCACGUUAGUCACGAAUACUACGUUCCGAAUGCGUAUACACGUUCCUGAACGUGCUACCUGUGUUU